Musca domestica (house fly) is the source of this 9950-nucleotide long non-coding RNA. RefSeq lists it as uncharacterized. The transcript has 3 exons. The record is from RefSeq and is a predicted model, not a curated record. Lineage: Eukaryota; Metazoa; Arthropoda; Insecta; Diptera; Muscidae.
CCAUGAUUCCAUCCCCCCGUACGUUCGAUACAUGAACGUUCCCAUUCGGAUACUCCAGCACCACCGCCUCCCUUGCCUUCGGUGGAUUUAAACUUAGAAAGUAGUAGUGUUACCACAUUUCGUGAUUUACCUUAAGGAAAUCUGUUACCUCUGAAUUUUUCUUUUGAAUUUCUUUCAAGGUGCCCCCGGUUGUCCCAUGUGCCCAAUGCCACCUAUGAACCAAUAAAUGUAAUUAUUGUAUUAUUUAUUAAAUAAAAGUUUAUUGAAACAAAGAGAAUAAAAUUAUAUGCCAAAUUUUUUGAUGUUUUCGUUUAAAAAAUAUACAAAAAUCUAAGAAAAAAAAAACAAACUACUAUUUAAGGUUGUGUGUGUGGAUAUUAAAACAAACAAAAAACAACAACAAGUUGGUUUACAAUUGUGCAUCUGUAAUGUGAAAUAAAUAAAUGUGAUUCGAAUGAUAAUUUUUUGUUUCGAUGUGAAACUGGAUCAUAACAAGCAACCAACCAACCAACCAACACAUGUAUAGUCUGCAGGCGGACCUUUAGCUCCAAUUACUCCUCAGACACACAAGACACAGAAGAAUGGAAAAGCGAAAUGCAAGAGAAACUCGAAACAUUUAUUUGAAACAAACAAACAAACCAACAACAAAAAGUAACUAUAAAACAAACAAAUCUACUUAUCAAACGUAUCUUUAUAUAUAUCAUAUAUUUUGGAAUUAUGUAAAAAACAAAUGUGUAUGUAUUAAUCUUUAAUUACUAUUAUUAUUAUUAUAUAAACAAGAGAAUUUAGUAAUAAGUUAUACAAACAACAUGAAAAAAGAAAAUUCCGCCAAAUUUACACUAAACAAAAAAAUGAGAAGAGAAGAUAAAAAAAAACUCGAAACUGUCUGAUGCUACCAUAUAGACCACAUAUAACAAUAACAACAACAAAAAAUUACAACAAGAACUUUGAAAAAGACUUACCAAUGUACAAUUUUUUUGUCUUCUAAUUAAUUUAAAUUAUAAAAAAAAAUAUAAUCUUUCUCUGUCUCUCACACAGCCCCAAAGCUUGUUUUGGUAACUUCACAAAACUUCUUCCUAACAAAAAUAUAUUUUGAUAAUUUUUUAUAUAUCUAUAUAAUACCUAUAUACAAAUGAAACAAGCAAACAAACAAAAAAACAAACUCGAAUCAGGCUACCAACAAAAUAAACAUACAUAUUUAUAUUAAAUAAGUGUUAAUUUAAGUUCAGCAAAACAAAAAAAAAACAAAAUUCUCACUUCCAUGCCUAGGCAAAAAGUGUAUUUACAUAGAAAGACAACACAUUCGUACAUACAUAAUCAUCAUACAUAGACAUUUAUAUAUAUAUAUAUAUACAUACAAAACAAUCCAAGCCAAAAUGAAAGCAAAUACUUCCCUCUCUUCGCAAAAAAAUGCCUUCUUUUUUUGUAUAUUUUCGUUUCAUAGAGAACAAACAAAUAAUAUACAUAUAAAUAAUUUUAAAAUAAAGUCGUUAGUUUUUUUUUAAAUAUCUCAAAAAAAGAGUUUUAAAUUUCAAUAUGCCAACGUAUUUAAACUGUAUGCCAAGUCCCCUAUGCUUAAUUAUAGAAAAAAAUCAUAUUUACAAAUGAAAUACAAAGGCUCCAAAAAUAAAAAAUAAUAAGAAAAUGGCAUGCUUCUUUAAAAUGAUUCCAAAGCAAAUUUGAUUAAAACACAAGUAGCUUGCAGAUUAAAAAAAUAUAUUUUUUUUUAAUUUAAAUGUGGUUUAAAGUCGAAGUAAAGCCAAAAUCCAAAAUAUUGUGAGGGGCUUGUCGAACUGUUUUAGAAAAACAUGCCAAUUUUAUUUCGAAAUGAUACAAGUUUAGUCUUCUUUAACUCCCCCUGCUCUCCCGAAAAACUGUAUACUAUUAACUUUUUUUUUUUUUUGAAUUUUUUAAAUAAUUAUUAUUUCGAUUAAAACACUAUCCAUCCCUUGUACCAUGUACCUACACCAUACACAUAUAUCCAGCAUCAAAUAGUGUUAAAAAAAAUUAUGAAAAAAAACACAAUAACAAAUUUUCGAAGCUAAUUUUGUAAAAACAUCAAUUCUUUUUGGAUAAUUUGUAGAAAACAAAAUUUCGAUGUUGCUUAGCAAAAAGAAAAGAUCUAACAAAAGUUAUUUGUCAAAAAGAAAAUAUUUGGAAUCGGCCCUAUUACCGUUGUCGUCGCAAAAUUAAGUCGAGGCGCCAAUUACGGUAUUAGGUUUGUCGUUUUUUUUUUGUCUAUAGCCAUGAAUGAUUGCUAUUCGGCCCUAUUAUGGUUGUCAUCGUCGUCGUAAAAUUAAGUCGAGGCGACAAUUACGGUAUUAGGCUUGUCGUUUCUGUCGAUAGCCAUAAAUGAUUGCUAUUAACAUUGAACUUUGAAACGGAACCCUUGUUGAAGGGCAAAGAUGGCGAUUUCUAGGAAUCAAAACGCCAGGUUAUAUUCAGAUAGUGGUUUUCGUUAUUUUUUGCAGUUACUAUCUUGUGAUUAGACUCGCGAACAUCUGGUUGAGAGUGGUAACAACGAUGUGUGUGUGUAUCAAUAUGCGUAGUUAAAACGAUAACACCAAAAGGUGAUAUUAACAUUGGCGAUACAAAAGUCGACGUGAAGUCGUUUUUGAAGAAUAUCUGUCGUUGUAAAAAAUUGUGACGUGACAUUGUAUUUCUUAGUCGACGUUGAUAUUUUAACUAUUUUGUAUUUGAAAAUUUGACAAUGAAAAUAACAACAGCAAAACAAUUUGGAAAUAUUGAAGUUAUUUCCGACACUGGUCUACUAAGAUCCUAGCGCUAAAAACCUCAAUGCUGUGGCCAAUUGGAACUUUACUUUAAAAAACUUUGAUUUUUUCGAUUUUUUUUCCAGAGAUCGUUAUUUUUACCUGAAUUCGGGAAACAAUAUUUUUUGGUAUGGACCCGGGACCGCCCCUGGACUCGAAAGUCCAGGUGCCAGAAUCCACUUACUCGAUAUAUGCAAUAUAGGUACCUGUUGAUAGAUUAUAAAAAAUACCUAUCCAACAAGUGGUCGCAUGACAACCGAAGGCAGACAACUUACAACAACUGUUAAAUUUAGAAAACUUUACUUCGCGUAACCGUAGAAGAGAAUAUCUCUGGACCCAGAAAAGGUUUAAGCCCAAAUUGUAGCAUUUUGGAAAGCUAAGAGUGGAGGCUAUAAUUUGGCAUCAAUUUUGUUGAUAAAAAUUCCGGGUCUAAAAAAUCGAUAAUUUGACUAUAACUUCCGAACCGCUUUAAAUAAACCUCAUCAAGUGACCACUUGUUGGAUAGGUAUUUUUAUAAGCGAUACCGUCUAUAUUGGGUAAGUGGAUCCGUGAUUUUUUGGUCAAAAAUCUGGGGUCACGGGUCUAUCCCCCAAGAAAAUAUAUAUAAAUAGUUUCCCGGAAUCAGGGUAAAAAUAUCUACAUUGGAAAAAAUUUCAAAAAAAAAAUUGAAAGCUUGGCGAAAUUUCUAUUAGCACAUGCUGAAAGCAGUCCUUGUUAAUUCUGAAGUAAUUUAAAAAUCUAAAAGAACACUGCAAACAAUUUUUUUCAUCUUUAUUUGUCAACAACAAGGGAGUGUUGCCAACUUUUUUUAAACUGUCGAUGUCGCUUCUAUGCCUUACCGUAAUACCUUUUUUGAAUCGAAGCGAUGGCGAUGACGGUAUGCACAUAACGUCGACGACUAUAGAUAUGACAACCGUAAUUGGGCCGAAUAUCUUGAAUAUAUUUGUUCCAGAAUUUGGAAGAUUCUACUAGGAAAAGGAGAGUAAAAAGAAAAAAGGGUAUUCCAAAAAGUUUUUUUUUUUAAGUAAUAGGGCUUCCUCAUGUCGUCUGUUGAAAAAGUCCUCAGUUGAUGUUAUAUGUUCCAAUAAUUAUUCCAUGUUGCAAUACUUUGCACUCUAACAAUUUUCUUAAAAAACAAAUGAUGUUUUUACAAAAUUAAAAACAUUUUUUAUUGGGGAUGAGAAAUACAGGGUUGCCCAUAUUCGACGGACCCAUCUGGCAACGCCAUAACUUUUGACAGAGAUGUCACAUCGCUUAAUGACAUACCGCGUUUGAAGCGUCAGUCCAAGCAGAUUUUUACCAUGAACCAAUACACGCCACGUGAGCGCUCUGAAAUAGUUAAAAUUUACAUUCAACAGAAGAAGUCAAUUGUGAAAACUCAACGUGCUUUUAAAACAUUAAAAAAUGUGAGAAGUGCGCCUUCUAAGAACACCAUUAAGCGUUUAUACGAAAAAUUUUCGACUGGUAAGGCUCUUUCUAAUCCGGAGUGGCCAUAUAAAAGUCGACCAAGGCGAUCGGCCGAGAAUAUCGCUGCCGUACGAGCCAGUAUUGAGAGGUCCCCAAGAACAUCCCAAAAACGCCGUUCUCAGCAGUUGGGUAUGGCUCGGUCCACUUUACAACGGAUUAUUCGCAUUGAUUUGCAUUUGUUCCCUGCGGACACGCCUCGUCGAUUGGAAUGGGCCCAAAGAGUCAUCGAAAUGGCCGAAAAAAACAUGGGUCCGUCGAAUAUGGGCAACCCUGUACCUUUUAUAUCACAUUGCCAUCACUUUCGAAAGACAUUUCAAAAGGUCUUAUAGUGUGAGUGACACGAAUGUUCUUAAAAAGCUUGGAAAGGAAGAAAAUGUGUUAUAUUUUCAGAUAUGUGAUGAUAAUCGAUUUGGAUUGUAAAUCGGAAUGGUAUUCACUUUAAUGAUCUUUGAUUAUAAACAGACCUUUCUUUUGAGGGUAUGCUUAUAAAAAACAAUAUUUUCAAAAUGUCGAUUUUAGUCAAAAUGACACGAAUUCGUCUCCCUCUCAUGAAAGAAAAGACGAAUUCGUUUCAUUUUGGGCUAAAAUCGAUUUAUGGAAAUUUUGAAAAUAUAAUUUCUUAUAAGCAUACCCUCAAAAGAAAGGUCUGCUCAUAAUCAAAGACCACUACAUUAAAUCCAAUUCCGAUUUACAAACGGAAUCAUCAAUAUCAUCACAUACCUGAAUAUAUAACGAUUUUUAUUAUCUUACGUUGGAAAUGUCCUCAUACCUGAUUGUAAUCGCUUAAAGUUACUUCUAAAAAUCGAGAAAAGAAGAAUAAAUUGUUUUAUAUAUUUUUAUUUAUGUAUCAUUACUAGAAGAUCAAUGUUUGUGGCUGGCCUUACGUCGAUUUAGGAUCAAUGUCAAACUCAAGAGGAAAAAUGGGCCAAUUUAGGCCUUUCAAAUAAAUAAGGACUUUCAAAUAAAUUCCAAAUAUUAAUGCAAUAUUUCAAUUUAAAAUGGUCUGCAACUCAUUAUUAGACAUUUCGAUCCUAACUUGAUGCGACGAACAGUAACCACACAUUGACCACCAAAAUCCAUCCAUCCAUAAAAAUUAACUAUUCAAAAAAAGAGCGUUUUAGGGGAAGACGAUUGAAACGAAAAAAGGGAGUUUUUAGGAAAGGGUGUAAUUGUUAAAAAAUAUUUGUUUUAAAUUUCGAAUAAAAAUUGUUUUGGUAAUACCGUCGAGAUUCUCUAUAACAUAGAUGUUGUUAUAAAAAGGCUAAGGUCCAAAAAAGCUAAAAUGGUUUCCCUUUUUAAUUUACAGUCGAUAUUUGAAAUCCUCGUGGAAAAGUUCGCAUUUAUUACCCGAUCCAGAUGAAAUUUUGCACAAGUCAUUUGUUUGACCCAAGGACGAACACUAAUGAAAUUGAAGAUAAUCGGUCAAAAUUUAAAUAUAGCUCCCAUAUAUAUCUUCGUCCGAUUUGCCGAUUUAUUAUGCACCAAACAUGUAAUAUCAGCCCAAAUAGUGUGGAAUUUUGCAUAUACGUCCAUAUUAAGUCUGGAAAUAAGUAUGUUCAAUUUGGUGGAAAUCGGUUCAGAUAUAGCUUUAGCUCCCAUAUAUAUUGUUUAUCCGACUUGAUAGUUUUGUCCUCCGCAGUCAUGCAAUAUGCACUCUGUAACAACGAUAUUUGGGGAAUUAUAUCAAAUGCAGCUUAGAAAUACCUUUGCUAAAUUUUAUCAAGAUCGGCUCAGAUUUGAAUAUAGCUUUCAUAUAUAUCUUCGUCCGCUUUGCCGUUUAUUAUGCACCAUAUAUUAUUCAUCCGAUUUGUUAUAUAUUUUAUUUUUAUGUGAAGCUCUACUAAAUAUGCAAAUGACCUUCUUUACUGCUUUUUCCUUAUAAGAGUUAGUUGAUAAAAGAAACAGUUUUUAGAUUGGAGAUAUAAAUGGAAACAAUUUUUUAACCUAUUUCAAAAUAAUUUUUUUUCUAGCGUUCUGGCGUUUCAAAUUUUCCCAACUUGAUUCUAGGCUUAAUUUUAUAAACCAAAAUCUUUAAUUUAAUAUUUUGCAAUUUAACUUUUUCAACAAAUAUAUUCCAACAAUUACACCUUUGCCUAAAACUAUCACACAGACAAAAGAAACGACAACAUCCAUAGAACAUUAGUUUGACAACAAAAGUAUAGUACAAGUGUUUUCAUUUGAAAAAUGAAAACGGAACCGAUCUAAAUGAUAUUUACACUCAAAUAACAUUACAUACAUAUGCUCUCUAUUUACAAAUCAUCAAUAAAAGAAAAACAUAAAUAUAUAUAUCUAUACACUUAACAAUACAUACAUAUGCCAGAAAAGAUUAAAUCAAAUGAUAUUUAAAAAAAUAACUAAAUAUAAUAUAUUUAUCUAUAUACAAAAGAAAAAAGAAAUUAUUUAAAAGAAAGGAGAAGAUUAAAAUUUAUUGAAAAAAAAAUCCAGAAAAAAAUUAAUAAAAAAAAACUACAUCAUGUAAAAUUUAUAUUACCAAACGAAAAAAAUAAACUAUUGUUGUAAAUUGAAUAUUACACUAUUGUAAAACACACACAAAUAUGAAUAUCAACAAAAUUGAAUAUUUAUAUUUUUAUUAAAUAUAUUCUAUAUAUAUUUUUCAAAAAUCCCGAAAAAAAAACAAAACCCAACUCAAAUAAAUGUCUAAAAUAUAUAUUUACAAUAUUUUAUUAAUUAAUGAAAAAAAGAAAAUGAAAACUAAAGGGCAUUGCAAAUAAAAAUAAAAAAAACGAGAGAAAAAUUUAAAGAAAUAAAAAAAUGAAGGUGGAGGCUAAUUAUUGUCAUCAUUAAAAAAAAGGCAAGAUGUUGAAAUUGUGGGCUCUCUUUCUUAUUUGAAAUAAAAAAAAUUCGGGAAACCAUACUCAAUCGAAUCGUGGAUCUACUUUAGUCUCACUUUUUUCUCUCUAUUGUGGAACCAUGAAAUCUUGUUUUUUUUUUAUAAAAACUACUAUAGACCUGCUUCAGGAACAGAGAAGGUCUCCUGUCAUUCGAAUUGACCUCGAAAAACUAAAAAGGUUUUAUUGAUAGGGUCCAUUUUAGACCCAAAGUUUUUUUUCUCUCAAUUGUGGAACCAUGAAAUCUUUUUCUUUUUAUAAAAACAAUUACAGAUCUACUUCAGGAACAGAUAAGGUAUUCUGUCAUUUGAAAUGACCUCGAAAAACUAAAAAGGUUUAAUUGACAGUGUCCACUUAGGACCGAAAGUUUUUUUCUAUCAAUUGUGGACCCAUGAAACUUUUAUAAAACAGAUUAUAGUUCUACUUCAGGAACAGAGAAGAUAUUGUGUCAUUUGAAUUGCCCUCGAAAAUUUAAAAAGGUUUUAUGGAUAGGAGACAUAUCUGCAGUGAGGGGAGGCCUUCAGAGGAGACGUUUAGAAUUUCUUAAAAAAACCUUCACGUACAAGCCUUUCAUAUAUACGAGAUUGAAGGAAGAUCUUCCAUACAUAGAAAAUCCAUGAAAAAUAUUCUAUCUUUUCUUCUCCGAAACCUAAAGAGCUCUUCUAUCUACAGAGAAUCUAGGAAUAUCUAAUAUUCCUAUUCACUUCCUGGAAACCUAAAAAGGUCUUCUAUCUGAAGAGGUCCUAGGAAUAUAUAAUAUUCCUAUUAGAUAUUCCUAGGUCCUCUCUUGAUGUUCUAUGUGUGGAGGAUAUUCCAUGUAUGUAAGAUCUUCCUCCGGUCUCCUAAAUAUGAAGAUUUUUUAAGGAAUUCCGACUGUAAAAGACCUAUAUUAAAUUGCUUAAUUAUAGGAGACCUAUAAAGAAAAACUAUGGAUAGGAGACAUAUCUGUAGAGAGACCUUCAUGAAGCCUCCUUGUACAAGACGUUCAUAUAUAAGAGACCGGAGGAGGAUCUUCCAUAUAUAUAGAACAUUCAUAAAAAAUAUUCAAUCUUCUUCCCGGAAACCUAAACAACUCUUCUAUCUACAGAGGACCUAGAAAUACCAAAUAGGAAGCUUUCUACUGUAAAAGACCUAUAUAAAGUCUCUUAAUAAUAGACCAUUAAAGAUCUUUUAUCUAUAGAAUACGUAAAGAAGUUUUCCUAUCUUACAAGAAUUUUUUCAAGGUCUCCUUUCUAUAGAAGACCUCUACAGGGUCUCCAAUAUUUAAAGAACCUAUUGAAGAUCUUCUAACUAUAAAAUACCUAUGGAAGGUCUUCUAUCUAUUGAAGACCUUCUAUGUGUAGAAGACCUAUUGAAGGCCUUCUAUGUGUAGGAGACCUAUGGAAGGUUUUUUAUCUGCAGAAGACGACCUUCAAGUAUAUCAAUGAAAGACCUGUUGAAGGUUAUAUUUAUAUAGGUAUUUAUAAAAUACCUAUUAAAGGUCUUCUAUCUAUAGAUCCCCUAUUAAAGAAGACAAAAGGAAAAGGACCAUAAAAGAUUUAAAUAAUGUCUUUUGUCUAUAGAAGUUCUCCGAUCCAUAGAUCUUUUUUUAAAUACAUAUAAGAAGAUCUAUAAAAAUAUCUAUAAAAAUAUUUAUAAAAAACCUAUGAAGGGUCUUCAUUCCAUAGAAUACCUGUUAAGAAGCUCUUUCAUAUAGAAGACCUUUGAGAAGACUUCUAUCCAUCUAAGACCUUCAUACGGUCUUCUGCAUAUUUAAGACCUGUAGAAGGUCUCCUACCUUUAUUAGACCUAUAGAAGGUCUUCUACCCACAGAAAACCUAAAAAAGGACAUGUGAUUAUAGAAGGUCCAUAAAAGAUAUUUUACAUAUAGAAGGUCUAUAGAAUUUCUUCCAUGUCUAUUGAAGCCCUAUAGAAGGUUUUCAUAUGCAUGUAGAAUAGAAUGUACUCUAUGUAUAUUGAACCUCUUUUGAAGGUCAUCUGCAAAAGGCUUCAUAUUCACAAAAGAUCCACAGAAUGGAGUUUCCGAACACGAUUUGAUUUCUUUUACAUACCUCUGAUACAUAUCAAAAUUAUAGAUAUAAACUAAAAUUUACAAUUUUUUUCAAAUCAAUUUUCCCCAAAAAAUCGGAUUAAAUUCCUCUGUUUUAGGAGGUUUUUUUUUUUGCAAAUCGCUUUUCAAAACAGUAAUAUUCGAACCACUUGGGUUCCUUUUAAUGAUGACAACAAACCUGGGAUAGUGUAACCACAUUGACCCGCCCGCCCCUUCCACCUUCUACUAUUCAUAUACAAUAUAUUUUGCUUGAAAUUUACUAAGAUUAUAAAAAAACAUACAUAAAUUAUUUUUACAAAAUAAUAAAGGAAUUGAAUUCUGUAUUUAUCUUAAAUAAUAAAACUGAAACAAAAAACAAACAAUAAUGUUUUAAAAUGUUCAAAAAAAGAAACAAUUCGAAUAUUUUAUAAAUAUUAAAUAAUUAAAACAGAAAAAAAAAUUAAAUUAAAAUUUAUAAAAAAUUUAAAUUAAAAAUUUAUGAAAAAUUUAAAUUUAUUUUAAUUUUAAGUCAAUAAAAACAAAUAAAAUCAUGUAUCCAUCCUCUUUUCCAACAGCAAAUCAUGCAACAACCAUUCAUAUAUAUUUUUUGUAGGCAAAAAACAAACAUAGCCAUAAUUAAUUAAUUAUUUUUUUGUUUUGUUUUUAGUUUUUAAAUGAAUUCUCUAUAUAUGUAAUUAAACCCAUUAAAAUAUUAAACUAAUUUUAAUUAUAUUAAAUAAAUCUUAAUUUUAAUUAUGUACAUUUCCCCCCUUACAAUUAUCGUUCAUCCAAGCACACCAACAAUAAAAAGAAACGGAAAAAUUUAAAAAAAAA